RNAcentral lists this ribosomal RNA (253 nucleotides) under uncultured bacterium. RNAcentral describes it as "partial 16S ribosomal RNA". It matches the Rfam family "Bacterial small subunit ribosomal RNA", at positions 524 to 776 of the family's 1533-position model. The record is from RNAcentral.
UACAGAGGUCUCGAGCGUUAAUCGGAGUCACUGGGCUUAAAGGGGGCGUAGGCGGGCCUGCAAGUGCUUUGUGAAAUCCCAUGGCUUAACCAUGGAAUUGCUUGGCAUACUGCGGGUCUUGAGGUUGGUAGAGGCUGCUGGAACUCUAGGUGGAGCGGUGAAAUGCGUAGAUAUCUAGAGGAACGCCGAUGGUGAAGACAGGCAGCUGGGCCAAAUCUGACGCUGAGGCACGAAAGCGUGGGGAGCGAACGGG